CGUUACUGAGAUACCAGAGUUUUCGAGAAGCACCGGAGACUACUUGAGCUUCCUGAAGGUAAUCGAUUUGUCGUCGUUCCGAGAAUAAAUGAGUCAUGGGAAAUCGAAGUUUUUCUUAAAAAGUGUUGCUGCUUUAAAAGUUGAGAUUGAUUUCUUUCGAAUAAAAUACACUGAACAUGUGGAAUAAAUUAACUUGUAAGAUGAAAAUAUACGAUGCAGAUUUCUUGUUCAGUUUUCAAGCAGGCAAAAUAUCAUAGUACAAGCUGCAGAAUAGCCGUCGGGACUACACCUGCAUAUGUUGCACUGGUUGUGAAACAUUUUGUUAGCAGGGCAUGGCUCGCCGUGCAUAUAAUUAUCUAGAACAAAUUUUAAAAAUCAGUAGAUAAUUAGUUAUGCUCAAAAAUGUAAACAUGAUAAAAAGUGAUAUAUAUAUAUAUAUAUAUAUAUAUAUAUAUAUAUAUAUAUAUAUAUAACAUUUAUAGCACAGUGUGGCUAAAAUCCGCUGUUAAGUCACACGUAUCGUAAUGUACUAUUAUGGUGUAUCUUUAAAUUUUCGCAAAAGUAUACUGUAAAGAAUUUAAUUGACAUUCUACCAAUACAGAAACAUGAAAUUUUCAA
Molecule: long non-coding RNA, 618 nt
Organism: Nasonia vitripennis (jewel wasp)
Lineage: Eukaryota; Metazoa; Arthropoda; Insecta; Hymenoptera; Pteromalidae
Exons: 2
Source: RefSeq, a predicted model, not a curated record